AAUGACAUCACUUUCAGAUUUCCGUGUCUAACUUUUAACCGUUCGUCUUAUUAAAAAAUUGUAUUUAGUAUUUUCAUUGUUAUUAGAUGGUAACCCAUGAAUAGUACUUCAUGCAUGACUAUUGUUUCUUAAUUUAUUCAUAAAAUUCUUGAAUAAGACGAACAAUCAAAAUUGGAUACGGAAAUCCAGAAAUUAAG
This is a microRNA precursor of Leersia perrieri, 197 nucleotides long. It matches the Rfam family "MIR812 microRNA precursor family". The record is from Rfam. Lineage: Eukaryota; Viridiplantae; Streptophyta; Magnoliopsida; Poales; Poaceae.